This is an RNA transcript of Gorilla gorilla gorilla (western lowland gorilla), 4839 nucleotides long. It is a transcript of the gene named FOXL2 neighbor, with no coding region annotated. The transcript is spliced from 2 exons. The record is from RefSeq and is a predicted model, not a curated record. Lineage: Eukaryota; Metazoa; Chordata; Mammalia; Primates; Hominidae.
GGCGGAGCUGCCUCCUGGAGUCCCUAGUGCGCCAGGAGCCUCGCUCUGUUCUGAUUCGUAUGGGCUCCACCGAGUUCCGCUUGCGUCAGGCGCCUUCGCCCCUAUAGCGGGGCGGCCAGCCGCGCACGGGCGAGUUCAUCUCCAAGUCACUUUUUGUAAACGCCCCGCACAGCCUGGACCGGCCUGCCCCCGCCCAGCGAGCCUCGGGGGCCCAGCCGACAGCCAGGCUCACGCGCCCUUGAAAUCUGCCGGUACUCGCUCUGCGGGCUGGGCUGGGAGAUGACGAGGACCCCGGUGGGGUCUGCCCGCACCCGGCCAAAGCCCAGGAAGCUCGGGCCCCAGCGAGGAAAGGCGCUCCAAGCCUCCUCGCGGCUUUCAGAGGAACAGAAUCCCCAGCCCUGGUGAAGAAGAGGAUGCCUGAUGCGUGCACCCUGGGAAGGGCUGGAAUCGGUCUCCCCAAGAUGUGCCUUCACAUGGCUGUCCGGCAUUCGAAGGCUCAGAAAACAGGCAAGAAAAUGCGGGCGGGAAGCCUGGCAGAAUGAUUACUUUCAGGUCCCCCCCAGGCUUCUGCGGAAAAGCCAGGGGCUUCGGGCUGGAGAUAGAGGAACCUAGGGAGAGAGUAGAAUCCUCUCCUUGCCGGCCCAGCCAGAGGUGGGUGAACCGGGCGCUCCAGGAAACGGUGCGGGGCGCCUUGAUUUACUUCUCAACCUUCGGAGGCAGGCUGGUUGCUGGCGAGGUCGGGAUCCUUUCUGAACAGGGCAUACUGUGCCUAGGUUUUGUGGACGCCAGGGCCGGUUCCUUUUCUCCCCGCGGCAUUGGGGCGACGCAGGGCCCCGGCUUAGUGACCUUGGGGCGGCGCUCACCUCCAAAGGCCAGGGUGGUGGGCUGGGCAGAACUCACUGCCUCUUUGCCCCAGUUUUCCAGGGUCCCGCAGCUGCAAUUCAGCAGCCACCGGCGCCUCCUGACCGUGGUCCCACCGUAGCGCCGCCUGCGGAUACGGUUCCAGUGAACCGCCGAUUGAGCGCAGUCUCAGCUCCCGCGCCUCCUCGCAGCCUGGCCCCGCGCCUCGGAGGUCCCGACAGCCGGCGCGAGCAAUCUACACCGCUCUGACAGAGACGCUUCUCUCCCCAGGGCCGGGAAUCCUGCAACGGCGGCAGAAGCGGCCCGCGCCUCGGGCUUCCGGCGGCCCAGCUCUACUAGGGGAGCGUCGCGGCUGCUCUGAGGCAGGCAGCGCUUCGCUAGAACCGCUCAGCUCGUCCCGCGCCGCCGCCGGCUGCCUGAACCAGGUUCCGCUGUCCCCUUUCCUAGCGGGACCCCGAAACACCCGCCGGCUUCCCGCGCCUGAGCGGGAGAGAAUAGAGCUUGCUGCAACCCUCUGCUUGGAGGGAUGGCCUCUGCGGUGCUUGGCUAGCAAAGGGAAGCUUCACUGUGUCUAUUAGUACAUCCCCAUACACUCCACGCCUCAACAACUGUCAGCACUCACUCCCUCCCGGCCCCUCACAGGGCCCUGUGCACCCACACCUCAGGGACUCGGUGUCCCUCCACUCAGGUCACGUUACUCCAUCCACUUCUCUCUCCUUCUCCCUCUGUCAACUCCAAAUCCCCUCUAGUUCUCCCUCCCCUCCUACUUCUCUCACACUCACCAGCUACACAUACUAAUUCAGAUUUUGCACAUGUUGGUGGAAAACAUGUCAAGCCAAUGUGCAGACCCUAAGGCUUUUCACACGCUGCUCACUUUCGCAUCUCACGGCGCAGAAGGACCUCUGGGCUCCAGGUUUACAAGCCUGACUCCGAGAAGCCUGUUGAUUCUCUGAUGUCCUUGGCCUGUGAUUCGGGUGACUGGGCUGCCACCUGGGUGUUUUCAUGGUGGGAUUGCCGCACAGACCACAGAGAAGCUCAGGUACUGAGCACGUUCCAGAUACACUUUAACAUGCACAGGCCACUCACACAGGCUUUAUCUCUGUCUCGAAACUCUGCUGAGCUUGCUGCUCAGACCAACAAGGUGCAGCAGCAGACACCCACAUAGCACCGGGUCUGAAGCCAGUGGGUAUUAGUCUGCCUGGUUGGGAUUAGCAAAGUCAGUUACCCACGUAUGUGCUUGGGAGAGAAUAGGGGAGUGGAGAGAGAGAGAGAGAUAUUGAGGAAGAGGAAAGAGAAGCGACCUCCUACUCUGGGAAGAACUCACACAUGAGAGCUGUUUCCUGUUGUUAAGUGUCUCACUGAGCUCCCCUCUUUCUCCCCCAGGAAGGGCUUGAGAGGCAGUAGACCAGAGCUCUGGGCUCCUCUUUCCCUUGCUGAUGUUGGGGUAUGAGUCCUCCAACACCACUUUGUCCCAAGGAGUAUGUGCCCCACCGUCAAUCAGGCAGAAUGCAGGGCAGUUGUCGGCCUUUUUCAUGGUGGAGGCCAACUGGGAAAAAGGCAGAAGGGUCUGGGUCCUGGGCCAAGUGAGGCCCUCUUCCCUCCAAAGACCCGUGGGAUGCUCUCAGAGGCGGAUUCUAGGGUGGUGGGAGCUGCUGACAAGUUUCCUCUGAUAUCCCUCGUGACAUCUAUGGCCCAAAGCCAUUUUGUUCAGCUCUGAACAGUGAGUGCCUUGCCAGUAGGCCUCAGGCUUGCUGGGGAACAUGAUGUGUUCUUAAAAGUUGCCUUGUUGCCUUUCUCCACACCCAGACUGUAAGCGCUGAUGGGCAGAGACUCUGCCCUCCACUUCUCACUCAGUGCUCCCCACCAGGAUGGGCUUAAUGCCUUUUAAUAGAAUUAGAAAAUGGUUCUGCUGGACAGAAUUGGGAAAUGCCACUUUCCUUAUAAUGAAGUUAGAAUUUCCAAGAAAGGGACUGUAGCUGAGGAAAAGCGGUUUGAUCAUUGACAGCCAGCUCAGGAUCUGAGAGUUCUUUGCCAUUUGGGGUUAUUAUAGCUGCAUGGCCAUGGUGCUGAACCUUAGGCAAGGACAAGGACACCUCCCUAGUUCCCAGUCAUGGUGAGGGCCUGUCUGAAACAUUCAAACUAUACUUUACUGGAAACAGAGAAGUCUCUGCAUUCAGGGCAGCUGGCUUGCAAGGUAAGGCCUGCAGUCUCCACCCCCACGCUAACCCAUGAGGGGAUGCCAGAGAGAGCCCUUCCCCCUUGGUCCUCAUUCCUGGCUCAAUUUUCUCCCACAAAGUGGGCACUGCCUAAAGAUGAUAGGCAACUGCCAUGGAGGAAGGCAGUUUUAGAUGCCUAGCUGGCACAAAGUCCAGAGGAAGGGAGGGAGAAGGGCUGAGUUUUGUAUUACUGUUCUACCUUUGGAGAUUUUCCUCAUGCCAAGAUAGUGUGUGUGUGUGUGUGUGUGUGUGUGUGUGUAUGUGUGCACUAUAACUUUAUGAAACACUUUUUUUUUUUUUUUUUGAGACAGGGUCUCACUCUGUUGCCCAAGCUGGAGUGCAGUGGUGCAAUCUUGGCUUACUGCAGUCUCCACCUCCCAAGCUCAAGUGAUCCUCCCACCUCAGCCUCAGCCUCCCAAGUAGCUGGGACUAUGGGUGUGAGCCAACACACUCAGGUAAUUUGUUUUUUUUUUUUUGGUAUUUUUGGUAGAGACAGGGUUUUACCAUGUGGGCCCAACUGGUCUUGAACUCCUGAGCUCAGGGUGAUUUGCCUGCUUCAACUUCCCAAAGUGUUGGGAUUACAGGUGUGAGCCACCAUGCCCAGUCAGUUUUUUAUUUUUUAUUUAAACAGUUUUGGGGGAACAGGUGGUUUUUGCUUACAUGGAUAAGUUCUUUAAUAGUAAUUUCUGAGAUUUUGGUGCACUUGUCACCCGAGCAUUGUACACGGUACCCAGUGUGUAAUCUUUUAUCCCUCAUCCCCCUCCUACACUUCCCCCCCGAGUCCCCAUUAUCUAAUUCUUUUUUUCUUCUUUUUGAGACAGAGUCUCACUCUGUUGCCCAGGCUGGAGUGCAGUGGCAUGAACUUCGCUCACUGCAGCCUCCUGAGUUCAAGUGAUUCUCCUGCCUCAACCUCCUGUGUAGCUGGGACUACAGGCAUGCACCACCAUGCCCAGCUAAUUUUUGUAUUUUUUGUAGAGAUGGGGUUUCACCAUGUUGGCCAGGCUAGUCUUGAACUCCUAACCUCAAGUGAUCUGCCUAUUUUGGCCUCCCAAAGUGUUGGGAUUACAGGCGUGAGCCACUGCGCCUGGUCCAUUAUGUCAUUCUUAUGCCUUUGCAUCUUCAUAGCUUAGCUCCCACUUGUAAAUGAAAACACAGGAUAUUUGGUUUUCCAUACUUGAGUUACUUCACUUAGUAUAAUGGUCUCCAGCUCCAUCCAGGUUGCUGUGAAUGCCAUUAUUUUGUUCCUUUUUAUGGCUGAGUAGUAUUCCAUGGUGUAUAUAUAUCACAUUUUCUUUAUCCACUCAUUGGUUGAUGGGCAUUUAGCCUUGUUCCAUAUUUUUGUAUGCAGUAUAACUUACAGAUGGUAAACAAUAUACAGCUUGAUGUAUUCUGACAUGUAAUGCAGUAUGUAACCAGCACCUGGAUCAAGAUGUGGAGCAUUUCUGGCACUUCAUAAGGUUCCUUCAUAUCUUUUUCCAAUCAAUAUUGCCUCAAAAGGGAAACCAUAUUUGGAUUUCUAUCACCAUAAAUAACCUUUGCCUGCCUUGAGCCUCGUAUAAAUGGAGCAUAUAGCAUGUAUGUCUUUAUGUCUAGUUUUUUCUGUGCAACAUAUUUUUAAUAUUCACUGGUCUUGUUGCAUGUGUCAGACAUUUAUUUCUUUUUAUUGCUGUGUAAUAUUCUAGUAUUUGCUUAUCCAUCCAUAUGCUGAGGGACAUUUGUUUCCAGUUUUUGGAUAUCAUAAAUAAAGCUGCUGUGCACAUUG